This 328-nucleotide ribosomal RNA is filed under the name uncultured bacterium. RNAcentral's name for it is "bacterial SSU rRNA". It matches the Rfam family "Bacterial small subunit ribosomal RNA", at positions 29 to 334 of the family's 1533-position model. The record is from RNAcentral.
ACGAACGCUGGCGGCGUGCCUAAUACAUGCAAGUCGAACGAAGCGAUGAUCGGAAGUUUUCGGAUGGAAGAGAAAUCGCUUAGUGGCGGACGGGUGAGUAACACGUGGGCAACCUGCCUAUAAGACGGGGAUAACUUGCGGAAACGUGAGCUAAUACCGGAUAGACGAGACUCCUGCAUGGGAGAUUCGGGAAAGGCGGAGCAAUCUGCCACUUAUAGAUGGGCCUGCGGUGCAUUAGCUAGUUGGCGGGGUAACGGCUCACCAAGGCGACGAUGCAUAGCCGACCUGAGAGGGUGAUCGGCCACACUGGGACUGAGACACGGCCCAG